RNAcentral lists this ribosomal RNA (468 nucleotides) under uncultured bacterium. Its description in RNAcentral is "partial 16S ribosomal RNA". It matches the Rfam family "Bacterial small subunit ribosomal RNA", at positions 28 to 507 of the family's 1533-position model. The record is from RNAcentral.
GACGAACGCUGGCGGCGUGCUUAACACAUGCAAGUCGAACGUAACGGCCCUGUUUUUGUGGGAUACUAGAGUGGCGACCGGGGGAGAAAAACGUGUGAAACCUCCCCUUGAAUUUGGGAUAACUUCAGGUGACUGGGGCCAAUACCGUUUUAGAGCUGAUGCUGUAUGGUGGGGGAUGGCACGUGUCGGGGGUUGGGGCUGGGCGCGCGGCUUCUCAGCUUGUCGGUGGGGUAGUGGCUUACCCAGGCUGUGCCGGGUAGCCGGCCUGGGAGGGUGACCGGCAAGAUUGGGACUGAGAUACGGCCCAGACUCCUCCGGGAGGCAGCAGGGGGGAUUAUUGCACAAUGGGCGGAAGCCUGAUGCAGCAACGCCGGGUGCGGGAGGACGGCCUGCGGGUUGUAAACCGCUUUCGCCGGUGACGAAGCGUGAGUGACGGUAAUGGGUAAAGAAGCACCGGCUAACUACGUG